GUGCUUCCUGGCACUGGGCUACAAUUCCUGAUGGCUGAUUCUGGGUGAAGAUGCUGUCUCUGGAAGGCCCCUGAUCAAGCUCUCCCGAGUCUCCCUCCUGAUAAACAUACAUCAAAAGGUGCAGCCCAGCAUUGGCUUUCUCUACAUGGCCCCCAGGUCCACCCUGCCCCGCCCAGCUGUUCCCCACCACCUGUGGCUUUCAGGAUGCUUCAGGAAAUGGAAGACACAGCAUGUGUGUGGGAGGAGUGGUUGAAGCCUCGCUGUGAUUCACCCGGACCUCCAAGGAAGUCACAGCUGCCCUCUGGGAUGGCCACAUUCCAUGGGGAGGGGCUUCAGGACACGCUACCUCAAAUACGGCACCUUGGUAUAUUGAAUACUUUAUACCUGGAAGUCAGAUUCCAGGCUCCUCUGUGGACGGCUUUGUCUUCGUUCCCUGGCACUUCCAACCCACCCUCUCUACCCAGGAACUAAGGCUGAGUGGUCUCCAGUGCCCUGAGAAAGCCCUGUGGAAGCACCAAGGAUGCUGGCACUGCCAGGAAGAGCGAGGGGACACUGACAAGAUGCAGGCAGGAAGCCCAGAAGAAGGACAGCCCCCAUCCUGAGAAUAAGCUGCCGCCCGCCUGCUUCCCCACAUCUGCGCUGCCUCCAGCUAAUGAAAGUGUUACUCCACGAAGCAGCAAGGUAAAGAAACUGAGGCUUGGAGAGGCAAAAUGAUUCGGCUGAGGCCCCACACUAGGUUCCUGACAAGCGUCUGGCUUCUGGACCAGAGUUCACAUCCCAUCCCAUCAGGCUGGAAGAGACUGCGGGUGAACUGAAUGCCUCUCAACGUCCCUUUCCACCCCUGGUGGCCAGGCUCAUUAGGAGAAAGGAUGUCAGAAUCUCAGUGGAGGUGUGAGGAUUUUUCUCCCAAAGUCAUAAAGCGGAAGGCAUCCUGCCUGUUUAACUGGCAGCCCGUCUUCUGGCCUCACCUCCCUUCAGGUACUGCUUUUUUAUCUCCUCCUAAAAUGCGGCAGCCCUUAUCGUCCCAAUCUCAAAUUUCACUCCAUUUUUUUUAUUACACAAAAGAGAAAAAAAUCUGUCAGUAAAACUGUCUCCUCAAAUUUAUUCGCCG
This 1111-nucleotide long non-coding RNA is filed under the name Homo sapiens (human). Its description in RNAcentral is "HSALNT0002484". Lineage: Eukaryota; Metazoa; Chordata; Mammalia; Primates; Hominidae. The record is from RNAcentral.